CCAGCAGCCGCGGUAAUACGUAGGGGCGCAAGCGUUGUCCGGAAUUAUUGGGCGUAAAGAGCUCGUAGGCGGCUUGUCACGUCGGGUGUGAAAGCCCGGGGCUUAACCCCGGGUCUGCAUUCGAUACGGGCUAGCUAGAGUGUGGUAGGGGAGAUCGGAAUUCCUGGUGUAGCGGUGAAAUGCGCAGAUAUCAGGAGGAACACCGGUGGCGAAGGCGGAUCUCUGGGCCAUUACUGACGCUGAGGAGCGAAAGCGUGGGGAGCGAACAGGAUUAGAUACCCUGGUAGUCCACGCCGUAAACGGUGGGAACUAGGUGUUGGCGACAUUCCACGUCGUCGGUGCCGCAGCUAACGCAUUAAGUUCCCCGCCUGGGGAGUACGGCCGCAAGGCUAAAACUCAAAGGAAUUGACGGGGGCCCGCACAAGCAGCGGAGCAU
Molecule: ribosomal RNA, 436 nt
Filed under: Streptomyces olivochromogenes
Lineage: Bacteria; Bacillati; Actinomycetota; Actinomycetes; Kitasatosporales; Streptomycetaceae
Description: bacterial SSU rRNA
Rfam family: Bacterial small subunit ribosomal RNA
Source: RNAcentral